UAUUAAGCAAGAAUGAAGAUAAGUAUUCCCUGUUCAAUUAUGAUCAGCCUGCAGAAGCUUUGGAGAACCAGCUGAUACUCCUACUUCAGAUGGAUCCAUUCUUUGCAAAUUCCCAAUACAAAAAUCACAAAAAAGAGAAAAGCAUUCAGUAAAAUUUGUGAAAUAUUGAGUAAUCGUAAUACACAAAGAAUCCCUUCAACUCAAACUCCAAAUUUACAUGAAACUCAUAAAAACAACUAGCUGCUUUAGCACAAACAAAAGCCAACAAGAUGGCAUCAGUUAAUGAUACAUGGUUGAUGGUACAUGUUUUUCACCAAAACUUCCAAGCUAGUAUAAUAAAUUGAUAAUAGCACAUUGCAUUCCUUGGUGUAACUUCAUUUGAAAAUACAAAACAGCAUUUAUAAUACAAGGUCGGAUCUUCAAGCAACAGAAGUAAAAACAUUCAAGUUUAUUGGACCGAGAAAAAUGUAACUCAAGUCAAACAGAAGGGCGAACAUCUUGUAAUAAGUUCAUUGAAAAUAAGGCUCUAAACUGUAACCGCUUGUGCACUCAGACUUGGAAUCUCUCGAAAGUGCAUCGUAUUUUGUGCCUUUCUUUUAUAGUCUUUUACAAUAAACCAACACGGAACUAAAAGAAAAUAGAAAAUAUGCACACACGGAGACAAACACACAAAGAAAAUUCUUUCUUUUUUGUUUUCUUUUUUACUUUCAAAGCUAAUAACAAAAAGUUUUGUUUACUUUAAUCAGAGAAGAACACAAUGUUCUAUCUUCUUCUGCUUAACAAUAACACCUAUGCGAACCUACACUCUUCCAGAAAAACAUUAACCUAAUAAAUCCCAAAAGCAAAAGGUCAAUAGAAAAGAAAUGUUAAAAGUUGUUAAAAAAAGAGUUAUACCCAUCUUCAAGCACAGAAGUUGGAGAGUCUGAUAGGAACUCGUUCUUUUCAUUUUCAGGAACCAUUCUCAAACCCUAAUCAGAAAAAUUCAAAUCCCACAAUAAAGAAAAACAAAAAACAACCCGAACCAGGCAUCUCCAUUGUCAACAUAUACAAGAAACCCCCAAAAAAAAAAAUCAAUGAAUCACAACUUCACAAACCCAACCUCCGAUGUUGAUUGAAAAGAAUUUAG
This 1126-nucleotide long non-coding RNA is filed under the name Olea europaea (common olive). RNAcentral describes it as "long non-coding RNA (OEUR_LNC011323)". The record is from RNAcentral. Lineage: Eukaryota; Viridiplantae; Streptophyta; Magnoliopsida; Lamiales; Oleaceae.